AUCCGUCUCUACACAUCAAUCGGACAAAAAAAAAAAAAAGAAAAUUCAGGCGGGCGGGCUCCUUUUCGAUUGCGGAAGGGUGAGUAAGCCGUGGGUAACCUGCCCCAUGCCCAUGGAUUACCAUUCUGAAAAGUUUUACUAAAUCAUGAUAAUAUAUAUUUUGUGGCAUCGCAGAUAUUAUCAAAAGUGUUAGCCGGUAUAGGAUGGACCCGCGUCUGAUUAGCUUGUUUGGUGAAGAUUAACUGCCCCACCAAAGGCGACGAUCAAGUAGCCGGCCUGAGAGGGGUGAUCGGCCCACAUUGGGAACUGAGACACGGUCCAAAACUCCUACGGGAGGCAGCAGUGGGGAAUAUUGCACAAUGGGCGAAAGCCUGAUGCAGCAACGCCGCGUGAACGAUGAAGGUCUUCGGGAUCGUAAAGUUCUGUUGCAGGGGGAAGAUAAAUGACGGUACCCCUGUGAGGGAAGCCCCGGGCUAACUACGUGCCAGCAGCCCGCGGUAAAUACGUAGGGGGGCUAGCGUUAUCCCGGAUUUUACUGGGCGUAAAGGGUGCGUAGGGUGGUCCUUCAAAGUCGGGUGGUUAAAGGCUACGGGCUCAACCGUAGUAAGCCGCCGAAACUGGAGGACUUGAGUGCAGGAGAGGAAAGUGGAAUUCCCAGUGUAGCGGUGAAAUGCGUAGAUAUUGGGAGGAACACCAGUAGCGAAGGCGGCUUUCUGGACUGCAACUGACACUGAGGCACGAAAGCGUGGGUAGCAAACAGG
RNAcentral lists this ribosomal RNA (761 nucleotides) under uncultured Streptococcus sp. RNAcentral's name for it is "bacterial SSU rRNA". It matches the Rfam family "Bacterial small subunit ribosomal RNA", at positions 71 to 776 of the family's 1533-position model. Lineage: Bacteria; Bacillati; Bacillota; Bacilli; Lactobacillales; Streptococcaceae. The record is from RNAcentral.